Molecule: ribosomal RNA, 290 nt
Filed under: uncultured bacterium
Lineage: Bacteria
Description: partial 16S ribosomal RNA
Rfam family: Bacterial small subunit ribosomal RNA
Source: RNAcentral
GUGUCAGCCGCCGCGGUAAGACAGAGGGUGCAAGCGUUAAUCAGAAUGAUUGGGCGUAAAGGGCGUGUAGGUGGUAAUCCAGGUUUGGUGUGAAAGCUCGGCUCAACCGAGAAAGGGCAUCAAAUACCAGAUUACUAGAGUGAGAGAGAGGACUGCGGAACUUUCGGUGUAGCGGUGAAAUGUGUAGAUAUCGAAAGGAACACCAGUGGCGAAGGCGGCAGUCUGGCUCUAUACUGACACUGAGGCGCGAAGGCGUGGGGAGCAAACAGGAUUAGAUACCCCAGUAGUCC